RNAcentral lists this ribosomal RNA (301 nucleotides) under uncultured bacterium. RNAcentral describes it as "partial 16S ribosomal RNA". It matches the Rfam family "Bacterial small subunit ribosomal RNA", at positions 509 to 807 of the family's 1533-position model. The record is from RNAcentral.
CAGUAGCCGCGGGAAUACGUAGGGUGCGAGCGUUAAUCGGAAUUACUGGGCGUAAAGCGGGCGCAGACGGUUACUUAAGCAGGAUGUGAAAUCCCCGGGCUCAACCUGGGAAUUGCGUUCUGAGCUGGGUGGCUAGAGUGUGUCAGAGGGGGGUAGAAUUCCACGUGUAGCAGUGAAAUGCGUAGAGAUGUGGAGGAAUACCGAUGGCGAAGGCAGCCCCCUGGGAUAGCACUGACGUUCAUGCCCGAAAGCGUGGGUAGCAAACAGGAUUAGAUACCCCCGUAGUCCCUGUCUCUUAUAC